This 301-nucleotide ribosomal RNA is filed under the name uncultured bacterium. RNAcentral describes it as "partial 16S ribosomal RNA". It matches the Rfam family "Bacterial small subunit ribosomal RNA", at positions 509 to 809 of the family's 1533-position model. The record is from RNAcentral.
CAGUCGCCGCGGUAAUACGUAGGGGGCUAGCGUUGUUCGGAAUCACUGGGCGUAAAGCGCACGUAGGCGGCUUGGUAAGUUAGAGGUGAAAGCCCAGGGCUCAACCCUGGAAUUGCCUUUAAGACUGCCGAGCUAGUAGGUGAGAGAGGUGAGUGGAAUUCCGAGUGUAGAGGUGAAAUUCGUAGAUAUUCGGAAGAACACCAGUGGCGAAGGCGGCUCACUGGCUCAUUCUAGACGCUGAGGUGCGAAAGCGUGGGGAGCAAAUGGGAUUAGAUACCCCCGUAGUCCCUGUCUCUUAUAA